Molecule: long non-coding RNA, 155 nt
Filed under: Felis catus (domestic cat)
Lineage: Eukaryota; Metazoa; Chordata; Mammalia; Carnivora; Felidae
Description: lncRNA (ENSFCAG00000047765.1)
Source: RNAcentral
CACAAGUUGUAUUUACUGAAUCAGCUCUAAUUACAGCUUUUGCUGAGGUUGUGAGGUCGGGAGAAGCAGUCACAUCUUUCUCAGAAGGAAAACAUGAGCCAAAGCUUCCUUCUCAGAAGUCAGAACUGACUCACUGACUAUCAAUGAAUCCAACA